GGGCACAUGGUGUAGUUGGUUAUCACGCCCGCUUAGCAUCUUCAUGGUGAUCUGCGGGCGGUCCCCGGUUCAAUUCCGGGUGUGUCCA
Molecule: transfer RNA, 88 nt
Filed under: Asterophora parasitica
Lineage: Eukaryota; Fungi; Basidiomycota; Agaricomycetes; Agaricales; Lyophyllaceae
Rfam family: tRNA
About the family: Transfer RNA (tRNA) molecules are approximately 80 nucleotides in length. Their secondary structure includes four short double-helical elements and three loops (D, anti-codon, and T loops).
Source: Rfam by way of RNAcentral